AUGCUGCUUUGGCAGCACAUAUACUAAAACUGGAACGAUACAGAGAAGAUUAGCAUGGCCCCUGCGCAAGGAUGUCAGGCACAUUCGUGAAGCAUUCCAUAUUUUU
Molecule: small nuclear RNA, 106 nt
Filed under: Saimiri boliviensis boliviensis (Bolivian squirrel monkey)
Lineage: Eukaryota; Metazoa; Chordata; Mammalia; Primates; Cebidae
Source: RNAcentral